Molecule: non-coding RNA, 633 nt
Organism: Gasterosteus aculeatus aculeatus (three-spined stickleback)
Lineage: Eukaryota; Metazoa; Chordata; Actinopteri; Perciformes; Gasterosteidae
Source: RefSeq, a predicted model, not a curated record
UCCAUUGACAGAACCAGUGAUUUUACAGGAGUCGCUGGUCUACUGCUGCUCCGGCCCUCGUCCGUUUGUGUGACUCUGGUGUUUUCCACCAGAAGGAGGCCGAAGCAGAGCAGCUGCUCCUUUGUUCUGUCCGGUUAAGUCAGCGUUGUUAUCAACAGAGUCUGGUGACUAGAAUCUUUGAGGAGUCGAACAAACAGCAGAGUGUUGUUUUACUUUGAAAUAUUGAAACAUUUAACAUUAAGUACAGAAGACAGCGAACAAACGACCUGUGAAUACAGGAUUCGUCUCGACGAUUUGUCUGUGUGCUGAUCCGCACUCGUUUGUGCGAUGCCGCUGUGGUCUGGGGUUCGCUGCCUUGCCGGAGGGCAUUUCGCUGCUGCGAUAGAGUUUCAGUAAGAGUUGAACUCUGACCUGGUCGAGCAAACACUCCUUUUAUGUCAGCGAGUCCGGAUCGUACUGGAGAUCAGAACCAGCCAGUCUCGCUGCUGAAGACAUCAGCAGCAACUCAAAUGGACCCAAACCAGAUUUGCUGUGCGAUGACGACCCGGAAGAUCUGUUUGCAGAGGCCACGGAGGAGGUGUCCUAGGACAGCCCCGAGAGAGACGUCCUGCUUUCAGACGGUCCCGUCGCUCG